RNAcentral lists this ribosomal RNA (497 nucleotides) under uncultured bacterium. Its description in RNAcentral is "partial 16S ribosomal RNA". It matches the Rfam family "Bacterial small subunit ribosomal RNA", at positions 28 to 507 of the family's 1533-position model. The record is from RNAcentral.
GAUGAACGCUGGCGGCGUGCCUAAUACAUGCAAGUAGAACGCUGAAGGAAGGAGCUUGCUCUUUCCGGAUGAGUUGCGAACGGGUGAGUAACGCGUAGGUAACCUGCCUGGUAGCGGGGGAUAACUAUUGGAAACGAUAGCUAAUACCGCAUAGCAGUAGAUGUUGCAUGAUAUCUACUUAAAAGGUGCAAUUGCACCACUACCAGAUGGACCUGCGUUGUAUUAGCUAGUUGGUGAGGUAACGGCUCACCAAGGCGACGAUACAUAGCCGACCUGAGAGGGUGAUCGGCCACACUGGGACUGAGACACGGCCCAGACUCCUACGGGAGGCAGCAGUAGGGAAUCUUCGGCAAUGGACGGAAGUCUGACCGAGCAACGCCGCGUGAGUGAAGAAGGUUUUCGGAUCGUAAAGCUCUGUUGUAAGAGAAGAACGAGUGUGAGAGUGGAAAGUUCACACUGUGACGGUAUCUUACCAGAAAGGGACGGCUAACUACGUG